This 500-nucleotide long non-coding RNA is filed under the name Gorilla gorilla gorilla (western lowland gorilla). Its description in RNAcentral is "lncRNA (ENSGGOG00000044619.1)". The record is from RNAcentral. Lineage: Eukaryota; Metazoa; Chordata; Mammalia; Primates; Hominidae.
GUUUGUCUCUGGGUUUUCGAUUUGCUGGCUCAGAAAACUUAUCAGCAUUUAACUGUUUGGUAAGAAGUAUUUUAGUUUACUGUGUUCUUUUUGUUUGUUUGUUUUAACAAAGCUUUAAGUUGCUUCUUUUAACUUGGAAUUUUUUCUUUUGUUUUUCUAGCAUAAAUUUGCCAAAGAUUUUAUGACUUAUUUGUCUGCACCUAAUGCUUCUGUUACAGGUCCUUAUAACCUAGAAACUUGUCUGAGCGUGGUGCUGCUGUCUCUCGCCAUGGUCAUGGCUGGCUCAGGAAACCUAAAGGUUUUGCAGCUUUGUCGCUUCUUACACAUGAAAACGGGUGGUGAAAUGAACUAUGGUUUUCACUUAGCCCACCACAUGGCCCUUGGACUUCUAUUUUUGGGAGGAGGAAGGUAAGUGAAUAUGUAUUUUUCCAAUGAAAAGAUCUCAUUGGUGAGAUCUAUAAGGGUGACUUACCUUGAUCUUGAAGAUAACAUGAAAAAUU